UACGUAGGUGGCAAGCGUUGUCCGGAAUUACUGGGCGUAAAGGGCGAGUAGGCGGUUACUUAAGUCAGGUGUGAAAACUGCGGGCUCAACCCGGAGAUUGCACCUGAUACUGGGUGACUUGAGUGCAGGAGAGGGCAGUGGAAUUCCUAGUGUAGCGGUGAAAUGCGUAGAUAUUAGGAGGAACACCAGUGGCGAAGGCGGCUGUCUGGACUGUAACUGACGCUGAGGCGCGAAAGCGUGGGGAGCAAACAGGAUUAGAUACC
Molecule: ribosomal RNA, 263 nt
Filed under: uncultured bacterium
Lineage: Bacteria
Description: partial 16S ribosomal RNA
Rfam family: Bacterial small subunit ribosomal RNA
Source: RNAcentral